Molecule: long non-coding RNA, 482 nt
Organism: Monodelphis domestica (gray short-tailed opossum)
Lineage: Eukaryota; Metazoa; Chordata; Mammalia; Didelphimorphia; Didelphidae
Source: Ensembl
CUUACAACCCAUGAACCUUUUGGUUGACAUUUUAAAGUUCUUGCUAUUUUCAUUUUUCUGAGAUUAUGUUUUCUUUUUCAUGAUUUAUAGAUAUAUAUUUUCACCAGAAUAUUGAUGCUAAAAAGGUGGUCAUUUGCAACAAGGAGCAGCUUGGGAUCAUUGGAAAGGCUGUACAAUUUCCAGAAUUUAAUCUAGUCACAUCUCCAUCUCCUCAUUCCAUUUUGGGACACCCAUUGUCCUUCUGAGGUAGCUUGGUAAUGCAGAGGAUCAGCACUUAUCCGGGAGUCAGGAAGAUCCGAAUUUGAAUCCAAUCUUGGAUGUUUAGUAACUACAUAAUACUGGUCCAUUAUGUGAGGGCUAUUUUCUGCCCCAGAAGAGGCUGUAUAUAUUCCUACAACACAUUUUGCAGCCUUGAGCAAAACCAGCUACACAAGGAACCUACUGAAGAAUGUUGCACAAGAAGGGAAAAGACACACCUCUAA